Molecule: ribosomal RNA, 467 nt
Filed under: uncultured bacterium
Lineage: Bacteria
Description: partial 16S ribosomal RNA
Rfam family: Bacterial small subunit ribosomal RNA
Source: RNAcentral
ACGAACGCUGGCGGCGUGCUUAACCCAUGCAAGUCGAACGGAAAGGCCCUGCUUGCAGGGUGCUCGAGUGGCGAACGGGUGAGUAACACGUGGGUGUUCUGCCCCUUACUUUGGGAUAAGCUGGGAAACUGGGUCUAAUACUGGAUAGGACCAUGCUGUAGGUGGUGUGGUGGAAAGAUUAGUUUCGGUAAGGGAUGAGCUCGCGGCCUAUCAGCUUGUUGGUGGGGUAAUGGCCUACCAAGGCGUCGACGGGUAGCCGGCCUGAGAGGGUGGACGGCCACAUUGGGACUGAGAUACGGCCCAGACUCCUACGGGAGGCAGCAGUGGGGAAUAGUGCACAAUGGGCGCAAGCCUGAUGCAGCGACGCCGCGUGGGGGAUGACGGCCUUCGGGUUGUAAACUCCUUUCAGCCAUGACGAAGCCCUUGUGGUGACGGUAGUGGUAGAAGAAGCACCGGCUAACUACGUG